Long non-coding RNA from Leptopilina heterotoma, 580 nucleotides. RefSeq lists it as uncharacterized. The record is from RefSeq and is a predicted model, not a curated record. The transcript is spliced from 3 exons. Lineage: Eukaryota; Metazoa; Arthropoda; Insecta; Hymenoptera; Figitidae.
AAUUAGUCGAAUGUAAAAUGUAUCCAAGGAGGAUUCUUUUGUUCAUUGCCCUCUGUGUUUUAUUUUUCAUAGUGCCAAUUAAUGGUGAAUGCAUUAAAUCAAGACUCGACUGUCAAUCCGAUGAGCAAUGCUGCACUGGAAACUGUAGAAAAUUAAGGGUCGCCGUCCAGGCAAAAUGCGCAUAAAAAUCUUUUCGUGUGCUAAAGCAAGAAACGCAGUUCUCUGCCAUAAUGUGUUGAAAAUUUUGUAUUGUAUUACUAUAAAUAUAGUAUAAAUAUAGUAUAUAAAUAAAAAGGAACACAGCCCACAUGUUUUUACAUUUUUAAUGAAAUUCUGCAUUAUUUAUUCAAGAAAUGAUUUUUAGAGCUUUUUGCAUUAUACGAGUUCAUGAAGAAAAUAGUGGGUUCUUUAGUCAAUGCUGAUACACCUACUUCCAUUUCCGAUAAAGGGAAAAGUUACUAAUAGUUUACAAAAAUUGCAUCAUUUAUUUAAACUUAUAUAUAUUUCAAUAUAACGAUAAUGUUUAACGAUCUUUAACGAUCAUUAACGAUCAUUUUAGGGGAGAAAGACAAUAAAAAGU